GAUGAACGCUGGCGGCGUGCCUAACACAUGCAAGUCGAACGGAGUCCAGCCUUUAAGACCUUCGGGUCAAAGAGGGGAAGACUGAGUGGCGGACGGGUGAGUAACACGUGGGCAACCUGGCUCAUAGAGGGGGAUAACAGAGAGAAAUUUCUGCUAAUACCGCAUAAGCACACACUGCCGCAUGGCAGAGGGUGAAAAGAGAAUCGCUAUGAGAUGGACCCGCGUCUGAUUAGCCAGUUGGCAGGGUAAGAGCCUACCAAAGCGACGAUCAGUAGCCGAUCGGAGAGGAUGAACGGCCACAUUGGGACUGAGACACGGCCCAAACUCCUACGGGAGGCAGCAGUGGGGGAUAUUGCACAAUGGGGGGAACCCUGAUGCAGCGACGCCGCGUGAGUGAAGAAGUAUUUCGGUAUGUAAAGCUCUAUCAGCAGGGAAGAUAAUGACAGUACCUGAAGAAGAAGCCCCGGCUAACUACGUG
RNAcentral lists this ribosomal RNA (478 nucleotides) under uncultured bacterium. Its description in RNAcentral is "partial 16S ribosomal RNA". It matches the Rfam family "Bacterial small subunit ribosomal RNA", at positions 28 to 507 of the family's 1533-position model. The record is from RNAcentral.